AUUAGCGUUAAUGGCAGCAAAGAAGCAAGUUUGAAGUUUUGAAUAAGUGCAAAAAGAAAAUAGACAAAAGCCAAAAUGAUAAAAAGAGAAAAAAAAGAGUAAAGCCACUUAAAUUUGAUAACCAAAAUUACACUCGCUAUGCUGUUAAAGGAACGGCGUUUGGUGAGACCAACACGUCUCUAUCUUCAAUUUCUCUCAGUUACUUUCACUUCAGCUAUGACAUCUGAUCUAAGGUAAUUUUGAAUCAUUGCAAUAGCGUUAUGAUGGAAACACACCUCAUCUAUGAACGCAAAUUUAAAUACUUAAGAAGAAGAAUAGAGAGAGAAAUGGAAAGAGGCAGGUGAAAGAGUAAUCAAAGAGAGAAAAAAAAAAAAAAAAGGAAAGAACAAAUCAUACAAUCCACACUUCCACCCAGCAUGGAAAAAUACUCGGUGUUGCCCAAAAUGAAAAUCAGUAUAAAAGGACCAGAAUUGUUCCGAAUGAAGGAGAGAAAAGACGAAAGUAAGAUAAAGGAAACAGCACCAAAUAUUUAAGAAUACAAUAUAACAUCAAAUAGACAACAAGAGAAAAGCAGAGAAUUUCUAAAGAUUUAAUUCUUGUUUUAGUAAAACAAUCAGUUCGAACAAGAAAACCUCUUGAAAAUUUUUCAGUAUCAUUGUUAUGAAACCAGAGAAGACAGGGAGCUGGCAGAAUCAUUAUCACGCUGGGCAAAAUGCUUAGCAGCAUUUCGUCCGUCUUCACGUUCUAUCCGCCGAGGUCGACUUUUCAUCCUUUCGGAGUCGAACGAAUAAGAACCAGUUGAGCACUAGGGUCAAUGUAAUCGACUAGCUCCCUCCCACCCUCAGAAUUUCAGGCCUUGUAGAAAGGAUUAUUAUAAAACCAGAGUCAAAUACUGCAUUCGCUUACAAAGGGAAGGAAAGCUAAAAAUAAAUAAAUAAAUAAAUACCAGUUUUUGACAAUACGAAGAAAAAACCUCAGAAUUACAGAUUGAUUGUAACGCGCAUUUCGGCUUAUUAUCAGGUAAACAAAAAGUAGUGACAAGUGUUUUUCUUUUAUGCUUUAGAGAUCCACUAUUGGUAAAUUAAGUCAUAACUGAAUAUAGGAAAACAUUUACUUGGACAAACUAUAAAAAGAAAUCAGUCGAUAAUAUUACACUAAGAUAUGUUGCAGUACGGGUAAUUUAACUGCUAUUAGAUACAUUGUAAUAAGGAAAGCAAUUACCUAUCUGUAAAAAAAAAAUCCUCAUUAACCGAAUAAUGUUCCAGCAUCACAUCCGUUCUUCUCCAUUCCUCUGUUUGAUCUUAACAUCUCAACCUCCUAUGUUAAACCAUAGCAGUUGUGAUCAAAUGUCAUCCACUUAUGCACAGCUAACUUUAAAAAUAUCUUAUCAAAGAUGAUAACCAGUUAGUCAACUUGUAAUGAAUAGCACAGAGUUUUAGCAAGGAUAACUGUAUGAAACUUACAACAGAAAAAUGUGCAAAGGCUACACUCAAGAGAUGAAAGCUUAUGAAGAAAUAUAAUGUAUGUGAAGUUAGGAUUUUAGAAAACUAACAACCCUACAAGUAUCUAAGAAUCAAUUAACUCAACGUGACACAAUAUUUUAGAAUGAAAAAGAAAAGCAAGCAAGAAUAUUACUGACAGUGUCGACUGGUACACAUGACAGAGAUAAGUUCCAAGAAAAGCAGAACAAAAUUCUAAGAAAAACAGAAGUGAAUGCCAAGAGAAAAAGACGUAAUACGUAAACGCAUAAUGUUAAUGCAAUCGUUUAAAUGAUUUGACUUUGAUAUAAUUAUAAAAAAAAAUUGUGAGAAACAGGAAAAAAACAAGAAAAUGAAUGGCUGUGUUUAGAACACACCAUCUCUACCAAAGAGGAAGAUCCAAAGUGGUCACUCGACGUGCUAAAAAUAACAGCUAAAUUUACCUCAUAAUAAAAUCUGAAAUUGAGAUGAACUAGUCAUUUCGGAUGUUGGCACACUGGAUUAAACAAAAAUGACAAAAGCAACAGUAAGAACGCUGACAGAUCAUAUUUAGCUGGACAGAAGGCGUGAAGUCACUAAUACUGUAAUAAUCACUAAAAAGAUAUAUCUCUUGUAGGUUUUAAUAAAUACAUAGGAGGAAAUACAGUAUAUUAACACAAAAGAUUAAGAAGCACGCUAAAUAUAAGAAAUUAAUGUCUAAUUCAAAGAGACUGAUAAAUUUUAAUAACGAAGCUGGGAUUCGAAAGAAGUUACUACGUAACUAACGCCAAUUGCUGCAGAUGCAUCUGGGAAUAUCUAUACUAUUAUACAGAAAGCUGCUUAUCAGUUAGUUAAGAGUAUGUAACUUUUAGUAAAAGAAAGCAAUUAUUAGUCCACCCUAUCUAAAAAGUCUUCUUAGUUCCAUUUUUAAUGAAUAUUUAAUAAAAUGUUUUUACUAUUUUUA
Octopus bimaculoides (California two-spot octopus) is the source of this 2421-nucleotide long non-coding RNA. Lineage: Eukaryota; Metazoa; Mollusca; Cephalopoda; Octopoda; Octopodidae. The record is from RefSeq and is a predicted model, not a curated record.